UAUGUUUUCAUUUUUUUCAGAGACAAAACUAUGUGAAAAAUUAGAAGUGAAUAACAUUUUCGGCCCGGCCUUUUGUCUCUACCUCGUUCUUAAUCUUUUAAAGUUCCUUGAAUUUUUUACUAUCAAUAUUGUAAAUACGCAUAAACUACGCAAUUCAACAACUUAAGAAGAUACAACAUAUAAACAAACACCUAUACAACGUGUAGAAUGGUGGGAUGGUGAAAAUACUAAACAAUAUUAUUUCCAGCAAGGAAUGUUCAUUUCUCCCCACACAGGAAACAACAGUUCCAGUACUUCUCUUAACGUUAAGAAGCGCCGAGUGGAGUUGGGUGUGUGCGGGGGUGGGGGCGCCCCUCCCCCCGCUCACAGUUUAGGCUACCACCCUCCUUCUGUUAUUGUUGCAUCGGAAAGACACACCAACGGCACCAGAAUUAAAACAGAACGCAGUAGUGGAGCCCCUGUUAAGAGGCGAGCAGGUACUUUUAAACUGUACAUUAUUUAGUUUUUUAUUUUUU
Eurytemora carolleeae is the source of this 515-nucleotide long non-coding RNA. RefSeq lists it as uncharacterized. The transcript is spliced from 4 exons. Lineage: Eukaryota; Metazoa; Arthropoda; Copepoda; Calanoida; Temoridae. The record is from RefSeq and is a predicted model, not a curated record.